This 427-nucleotide ribosomal RNA is filed under the name uncultured bacterium. Its description in RNAcentral is "partial 16S ribosomal RNA". It matches the Rfam family "Bacterial small subunit ribosomal RNA", at positions 355 to 774 of the family's 1533-position model. The record is from RNAcentral.
UGGGGAAUAUUGGACAAUGGGCGAAAGCCUGAUCCAGCAAUGCCGCGUGCAGGAUGAAGGCCUUCGGGUUGUAAACUGCUUUUGUACGGAACGAAACGGCGAGCUCUAAUACAGUUUGCUAAUGACGGUACCGUAAGAAUAAGCACCGGCUAACUACGUGCCAGCAGCCGCGGUAAUACGUAGGGUGCAAGCGUUAAUCGGAAUUACUGGGCGUAAAGCGUGCGCAGGCGGUUAUGUAAGACAGAUGUGAAAUCCCCGGGCUUAACCUGGGAACUGCAUUUGUGACUGCAUAGCUAGAGUACGGUAGAGGGGGAUGGAAUUCCGCGUGUAGCAGUGAAAUGCGUAGAUAGGCGGAGGAACACCGAUGGCGAAGGCAAUCCCCUGGACCUGUACUGACGCUCAUGCACGAAAGCGUGGGGAGCAAACA